RNAcentral lists this ribosomal RNA (1325 nucleotides) under metagenome. Its description in RNAcentral is "bacterial LSU rRNA". It matches the Rfam family "Bacterial large subunit ribosomal RNA", at positions 1561 to 2925 of the family's 2925-position model. The record is from RNAcentral.
AGUGGAUGGGGAGCAACCUAGUUGUGCGUGUGUAAAGGUAGUGCCAAGAAAAGCGGUGAUCAUGAUGAAAAUCAAUUCCCGGUACCCGAAACCGACACAGGUGGGCAAGUAGAGAAUACUAAGGGGCGCGAGGUAACUCUCUCCAAGGAACUCGGCAAAAUGACCCCGUAACUUAGGGAGAAGGGGUGCCACCGAGAGGUGGUCGCAGUGAAGAGGCCCAGGCGACUGUUUAGCAAAAACAUAGGUCUCUGCAAACUCGAAAGAGGAGGUAUAGGGGCUGACGCCUGCCCAGUGCCGGAAGGUUAAAGAAGUUGGUCAGUCUUAGGAUGAAGCUAGCGACUGAAGCCCCGGUGAACGGCGGCCGUAACUAUAACGGUCCUAAGGUAGCGAAAUUCCUUGUCGGGUAAGUUCCGACCCGCACGAAAGGCGUAACGAUCUGGGCGCUGUCUCGGAGAGAGGCUCGGCGAAAUAGGAUUGUCUGUGAAGAUACGGACUACCUGCAUUUGGACAGAAAGACCCUAUGAAGCUUUACUAUAGCUUGGAAUUGUGUUCGGGCUUCCUGUGCGCAGGAUAGGUGGGAGGCGUAGAAGGUAUUCUUGUGGGGAUACUGGAGCCAACGGUGAGAUACCACUCUCAGGAGGCUAGAAUUCUAACUUAAUUAAGGACAGUUUCAGGUGGGUAGUUUGACUGGGGCGGUCGCCUCCAAAAAGGUAACGGAGGCGUACAAAGGUUCCCUCAGACUGGUUGGAAAUCAGUCGAAGAGUGCAAGGCAGAAGGGAGCUUGACUGCGAGAAGUACAGUUCGAGCAGGGUGGAAACACGGUCUUAGUGAUCCGACGGUGCUGUGUGGAAGGGCCGUCGCUCAACGGAUAAAAGUUACUCUAAGGAUAACAGGCUGAUCUCCCCCAAGAGUUCACAUCGACGGGGAGGUUUGGCACCUCGAUGUCGGCUCAUCGCAACCUGGGGCGGAAGUACGUCCCAAGGGUUGGGCUGUUCGCCCAUUAAAGCGGUACGUGAGCUGGGUUCAGAACGUCGUGAGACAGUUCGGUCCAUAUCCGAUGUAGGCGUGAGAAUAUUGAGAGGAGCCUUCCUUAGUACGAGAGGACCGGGAAGGACGCACCGCUGGUGUACCUGUUAUGAUGCCAAUUGUAAACGCAGGGUAGCCAAGUGCGGAGAGGAUAACCGCUGAAAGCAUCUAAGUGGGAAGCCCACCUCAAGAUGAGUAUUCUGGUGUAAGGUCACGGGAAGACGACCCGUAAAUAGGCACGAGGUGGAAGUGCAGAGAUGUAUGAAGCCGAAGUGUACUAAUAGACCGUCGGCUUGACC